GAGUUUGAUCCUGGCUCAGAACGAACGCUGGCGGCAGGCUUAACACAUGCAAGUCGAGCGAUAACGGUUCUUCGGAACUUAUUAAAGCGGCAGACGGGUGAGUAACACGUGGGAACCUACCUCAUAGUACGGAAUAAUUCAUGGAAACGUGUUGUAAUACCGUAUACGCCCUUCGGGGGAAAGAUUUAUCGCUAUGAGAUGGGCCCGCGCCAGAUUAGCUAGUUGGUGGGGUAAUUGCCUACCAAGGCGACGAUCUGUAGCUGGUUUGAGAGGAUGAUCAGCCACAUUGGAACUGAGACACGGUCCAGACUCCUACGGGAGGCAGCAGUGGGGAAUAUUGCGCAAUGGAGGAAACUCUGACGCAGCCAUGCCGCGUGAGUGACGACGGUCUUAGGAUUGUAAAGCUCUUUCGCUGGUGAAGAUAAUGACGGUAACCAGUAAAGAAGCCCCGGCUAACUCCGUGCCAGCAGCCGCGGUAAUACGGAGGGGGCUAGCGUUGUUCGGAAUUACUGGGCGUAAAGCGUACGUAGGCGGACUGAUCAGUUGGGGGUGAAAUCCCAGGGCUUAACCCUGGAACUGCCUUCAAUACUGACAGUCUUGAGUNCGNAAGAGNUGAGUGGAMUNCNUAGUGUAGAGGUGAAAYUCAUAGAUAUUAGGAGGAACACCAGUGGCGAAGGCGGCUCACUGGUCCGAUACUGACGCUGAGGUACGAAAGCGUGGGGAGCAAACAGGAUUAGAUACCCUGGUAGUCCACGCCGUAAAUGAUGAAUGCUAGCUGUCGGGCAGUAUACUGUUCGGUGGNCGCAGCUAACGCAUUAAGCAUUCCGCCUGGGGAGUACGGUCGCAAGAUUAAAACUCAAAGGAAUUGACGGGGGCCCGCACAAGCGGUGGAGCAUGUGGUUUAAUUCGAGGCAACGCGAAGAACCUUACCGGCUCUUGACAUUUAGUGACAACCUGAGAGAUCAGGCUUUCUUCGGACACUAGGACAGGUGCUGCAUGGCUGUCGUCAGCUCGUGUCGUGAGAUGUUCGGUUAAGUCCGGCAACGAGCGCAACCCCUGCUUUUAGUUGCCAGCAUUCAGUUGGGCACUCUAGAAGGACUGCCGGUGAUAAGCCGGAGGAAGGUGGGGACGACGUCAAGUCAUCAUGGCCCUUAUGGGCCGGGCUACACACGUGCUACAAUGGCGGUGACAGUGGGCAGCUACUGAGCGAUCAGAUGCUAAUCCCAAAAAACCGUCUCAGUUCGGAUUGUACUCUGCAACUCGAGUGCAUGAAGUUGGAAUCGCUAGUAAUCGUGGAUCAGCAUGCCACGGUGAAUACGUUCCCGGGCCUUGUACACACCGCCCGUCACACCAUGGGAGUUGGUUUUACCCGAAGCCGGUGCGCUAACUUUUGAGGCAGCCGACCACGGUAGGGUCAGCGACUGGGGUGAAGUCGUA
Molecule: ribosomal RNA, 1437 nt
Filed under: uncultured bacterium
Lineage: Bacteria
Description: bacterial SSU rRNA
Rfam family: Bacterial small subunit ribosomal RNA
Source: RNAcentral